Long non-coding RNA from Rosa chinensis, 392 nucleotides. RefSeq lists it as uncharacterized. The transcript has 3 exons. NCBI's taxonomy places the organism in Eukaryota, Viridiplantae, Streptophyta, Magnoliopsida, Rosales, Rosaceae. The record is from RefSeq and is a predicted model, not a curated record.
UGUUAACAGUUAGUCUCAGUGGCAAAGACUUGACAUGAUGCAUUAGAUGUGUUCAAUUGAAGAAGCUGAUGAAUUCUCAUGCAGGCCAAUUGUGAGUGAGACAUUCGAGGUUAGGUUAAAGAUAAUGUUGUCCAGAGCAUUGCAAACUUCUUCAUGAUCUGCAGGUCCUGGACCAGAUCCUGGACGUAGCAAAAGCUUCAGGGUCAUCGGAAGUAUAUAGAUCAUUAUAUUUGUGCAAAUGCUAGCUCUUUUGGAUACAUGAAUGUAUAUAUAGAUGAUUGACAACUUUUGGAUACAUGAAUGUAUAUAUAGAUGAUUGACAAAUGCUAGCUCUUUUGGAACACUAGACGCUUGAAUUAGAAUACUUCAUUACGUAAAUAUAUUGAGCAUUA